UGGUCCGGCGAGUUAUUGUAUGCAGCGAGGUUAAGUAGUUCAGCUACGGAGCCGAAGUGAGAGCGAGUGUUAACAGCACGUUCAGUUGUAUGCAAUAGACCCGAAACCGGGUGACCUAUCCAUGUCCAGGAUGAAGUGAGGGUAAAACCUCAUGGAGGUCCGAACCCACUCCCGUUGAAAUGGUAGGGGAUGAGGUGUGGAUAGCGGAGAAAUUCCAAUCGAACCCGGAUAUAGCUGGUUCUCCCCGAAAUAGUUUUAGGACUAGCCUCGUGAUUAAGAUUAUCGGAGGUAAAGCACUGAAUGGCCUAGGGGUCGAGAGAUUACCGAAGCCUAUCAAACUCUGAAUGCCGAAUAAUCAUGCACGGGAGUCAGACUGUGUGAGAUAAGUUUCAUAGUCGAAAGGGAAACAGCCCAGACCUACAGCUAAGGUCCCAAAGUACGUUUAAGUGGAAAACGAUGUGAAAUUGCGUAGACAACCAGGAUGUUGGCUUAGAAGCAGCCAUACAUUAAAAGAGUGCGUAAUAGCUCACUGGUCGAGUGACUUUGCGCGGAAAAUUUAACGGGGCUAAAACGUACACCGAAGCUUAGGCUUGCAACUAUGUUGCAGGGGUAGGGGAGCGUUGAAUGAGGGGUGAAGUCGUAGCGAAAGCGACGGUGGACUUCAUUCAAGUGAGAAUGCCGGAAUGAGUAGCGAGAAUUAUGUGAGAAUCAUAAUGGCCGAAAGCCUAAGGUUUUUGGAGGAAGGUUCGUCCGCUCCAAGUAAGUCGGAAGCUAAGGUGAGGCUGAAAAGCGUAGCCGAUGCACAAACGGUUGAAAUUCCGUUACCACAGAAAGAUUUAAACUAAGGGACACUUUUGAAGAGCUGAUGCCGGGUGUUGGUUACCCCGGUCGUAAGGGAACGAAAUCAAGUAGUGAAGUCAGCGUGGAUGAAGGCGAGAAAAGCUUAGUGUAUAUCUUAUGUGUCCGUACCGCAAACCGACACAGGUAGGUAGGAAGAGAAUUCUAAGGCCAACGGGAGAAGGGUAGUUAAGGAACUCGGCAAAAUGUCCCCGUAACUUCGGAAUAAGGGGAGGUUUCUACGGAAACCCGCAGAGAAUAGUCCCAGGCAACUGUUUAUCAAAAACACAGCUCUAUGCUAAAUCGAAAGAUGACGUAUAUGGGGUGACACCUGCCCGGUGCCGGAAGGUUAAGAGGAGGAGUGAGAGCCCUGAAUCGAAGCCCCGGUAAACGGCGGCCGUAACUAUAACGGUCCUAAGGUAGCGAAAUUCCUUGUCAGGUAAGUUCUGACCCGCACGAAUGGCGUAAUGAUCUGGGAGCUGUCUCAACUGCCCGCCCGGCGAAAUUGUAGUACCGGUGAAGAUGCCGGUUACCCGCGACUAGACGGAAAGACCCCAUGGAGCUUUACUGUAGCUUAAUAUUGGAUUUCGGCAUUUCAUGUACAGGAUAGGUGGGAGACUAGGAAACAUAGGCGUCAGCUUAUGCGGAGUCGUCCUUGGGAUACCACUCUUGGAGUGCUGAAAUUCUAACCUGCAGCCCUGAAUCGGGUUGGGGGACAUUGUUAGGUGGGCAGUUUGACUGGGGC
Molecule: ribosomal RNA, 1582 nt
Filed under: human gut metagenome
Description: bacterial LSU rRNA
Rfam family: Bacterial large subunit ribosomal RNA
Source: RNAcentral